RNAcentral lists this ribosomal RNA (468 nucleotides) under uncultured Sphingobacteriales bacterium. Its description in RNAcentral is "bacterial SSU rRNA". It matches the Rfam family "Bacterial small subunit ribosomal RNA", at positions 916 to 1381 of the family's 1533-position model. Lineage: Bacteria; Pseudomonadati; Bacteroidota; Sphingobacteriia; Sphingobacteriales. The record is from RNAcentral.
GACGGGGCCGGCACAGCGAGGAGCAUGUGGUUUAAUUCGAUGAUACGCGAGGAACCUUACCUGGGCUCGAACGUAAGAUGACUGUAGGUGAAAGCUUACAUCUCUUCGGAGCAUUUUACGAGGUGCUGCAUGGUUGUCGUCAGCUCGUGCCGUGAGGUGUCGGGUUAAGUCCCAUAACGAGCGCAACCCCUACCUUUAGUUGCCAUCAGGUUAAGCUGGGGACUCUAAAGGAACUGCCUACGCAAGUAGUGAGGAAGGCGGGGAUGACGUCAAAUCAGCACGGCCCUUACGUCCAGGGCUACACACGUGCUACAAUGGCCGAUACAGAGGGCAGCUACCUGGUGACAGGAUGCAAAUCUCCAAAGUCGGUCUCAGUUCGGAUCGGAGUCUGCAACCCGACUCCGUGAAGUUGGAUUCGCUAGUAAUCGCGCAUCCAGCCAUGGCGCGGUGAAUACGUUCCCGGGCCUU